AGUGAACGCUGGCGGCAGGCCUAACACAUGCAAGUCGAACGGCAGCACAGUAAGAGCUUGCUCUUCCGGGUGGCGAGUGGCGGACGGGUGAGGAAUACAUCGGAAUCUACUUUUUCGUGGGGGAUAACGUAGGGAAACUUACGCCAAUACCGCAUCCGACCUACGGGUGAAAGCAGGGGAUCUUCGGACCUUGCGCGAUUGAAUGAGCCGAUGUCGGAUUAGCUAGUUGGCGGGGUAAAGGCCCACCAAGGCGACGAUCGGUAGCUGGUCUGAGAGGAUGAUCAGCCACACUGGAACUGAGACACGGUCCAGACUCCUACGGGAGGCAGCAGUGGGGAAUAUUGGACAAUGGGCGCAAGCCUGAUCCAGCCAUACCGCGUGGGUGAAGAAGGCCUUCGGGUUGUAAAGCCCUUUUGUUGGGAAAGAAAAGCAGCAGGUUAAUACCCCGCGGUUCUGACGGUACCCAAAGAAUAAGCACCGGCUAACUUCGUG
RNAcentral lists this ribosomal RNA (492 nucleotides) under uncultured bacterium. RNAcentral describes it as "partial 16S ribosomal RNA". It matches the Rfam family "Bacterial small subunit ribosomal RNA", at positions 29 to 507 of the family's 1533-position model. The record is from RNAcentral.